This 465-nucleotide ribosomal RNA is filed under the name uncultured bacterium. RNAcentral's name for it is "bacterial SSU rRNA". It matches the Rfam family "Bacterial small subunit ribosomal RNA", at positions 339 to 796 of the family's 1533-position model. The record is from RNAcentral.
CUACGGGAGGCAGCAGUGGGGAAUAUUGCGCAAUGGGGGCAACCCUGACGCAGCCAUGCCGCGUGUGUGAAGAAGGCCUUCGGGUUGUAAAGCACUUUCAAUUGGGAAGAAAGGUUGUACGUUAAUAGCGUGCAGCUGUGACGUUACCUUUAGAAGAAGCACCGGCUAACUCCGUGCCAGCAGCCGCGGUAAUACGGAGGGUGCGAGCGUUAAUCGGAAUUACUGGGCGUAAAGCGCGCGUAGGCGGUUUGUUAAGUCGGAUGUGAAAGCCCUGGGCUCAACCUGGGAACUGCAUUCGAUACUGGCCGACUAGAGUACGAGAGAGGGAGGUAGAAUUCCACGUGUAGCGGUGAAAUGCGUAGAUAUGUGGAGGAAUACCGGUGGCGAAGGCGGCCUCCUGGCUCGAUACUGACGCUGAGGUGCGAAAGCGUGGGUAGCAAACAGGAUUAGAUACCCGUGUAGUCC